RNAcentral lists this long non-coding RNA (2404 nucleotides) under Nicotiana tabacum (common tobacco). Its description in RNAcentral is "long non-coding RNA (NTAB_LNC011881)". The record is from RNAcentral. Lineage: Eukaryota; Viridiplantae; Streptophyta; Magnoliopsida; Solanales; Solanaceae.
UUAUUACAUAGUUUAUUUAAUUAAUUGAAAUUAGUUUAGUUUUAAUUUAAAAAAGAUUGGGUUGGCUAUUUAAUGGACUUUUAAAAAUUGAAGAAGUACAAAAUCUUGGCCCAAUUUUACACAAGUAGAAGCCCAAAAUCGGGCAGCCCAUUCCCUUCCUUAACCCCAACCCUUCCUUAACCCCAACCCUUUAACCCGCCGGAUCGACCCAUCUACCCGCCCAUUUUACCCUUUAAUAUCGGCCAUCCAUUCACCAAAUCCAACGGUCCACAUUAUUUCCCCACACCCAAAUACAAACUCUGUUAUAUCACUCCAACCCCUAACCCUAAAGACUAAACCAACCGCACCCUCUUCUCCCUCACACCUUCUGCUGCCAUAACCCAGCCCAAACCUCACCAUAAACGAACCCUCAUGGUCCCCCUCCUCUUUCUCUCUUCCACGUCAUCAAAACCAUAACGAUCUCUGUCAGAAGAAGAUAUUCCAUUUUUCCCCUUUCCACGCGCUCUUGCUUCCCUUGGAUGGAAUUCAGAUUAAUGGUAGACGUAGGAUUUGAAAACUUUAAAUCCUAGUCUUCCAUUUGUCUUAGAACCAUCCAGAAAGAAGAAUAAGAGGGGAUUUUCGUUUGGGGGCAGAGGAUUUUCGGAAUUUAUUGAAGGGAAAAUUCGGGUUUUUGGAGAGAUUUCUUGUUGAAUAAGGAGAAGCUUCAAGAGGGAGCUAUAUAUUUGGGGUCUGGACAUAGAUGGGGGGGGGGAUUCUUGUUUUUUUGGGGUUUCGUUUCUUUUUUCGGAGAAAAUUGACGAAAAGAGAGGAGGCUUUGUUCUUAGCUUUUGGAUUUUUCUUUUCUGUUUUCCUUUGAAUUCCAUAGAGAAGAUAUAAAAAAUACCAAAAAAUUUCAGUUCUGUCAUUUUUCUUAAUUUGUUAUAAAGGCCAGAAAAUUCAAAAAGAAAGGGUUUCGUUCUUCUUCUGGAAUUCAACUGAGGUAUUAGGAGUUUGAUUGACUGGACUUGCCGUUCGAAGUCGAGUUCACGGUUCCUGUUCAAUCUAGUUGCUUCUUUUCUCAUUCGGAUUUUGGAUUCAGAGUAUUGUAGCUGGUUCUCUUAAUUAUCCGCUAUUAAGAAGGAACUAGCAUUCUCAGGUUCAUUCCCACUAUCCCAUCUAUCUUAGUUUUCAUUGCAAAUUUAGCCGGAAGAGCCAUUUUAGGACCAGUUUGUUGGUAUCAUGUUUUAAUCUAUUAGAUACAGAGUUAUGUUAGCAAGGGUUUGUUAAUCCCGUUUCGAUUUAAUCUGUGCCAUUGUGAUUGUUAGUCUCUUUCAGUAGCUUAUUCGUAUUUUGGAAAUGGAUUGUGUUUCAAUUUGCUUGGAUCUUAUACUGCCGUAAUGUUAUCAUAGAGAGUGUUGUGCUUGAUUGUUUGAAUAUUGUUCCAAACAUAGUGUCGAUAAUGACUAUUCUUUCAAAGUUAAGCAAAGUUCUGUUACCUUGGACCUAUCUCAUAAAGUUCCGUUAAGAUUUAAGCUACUUGCCAUGAUUUGCUCAUUUUAGACAUAGACAAAUGAUAUGUAAAGCAAGCUUCUGCAACUAUGUAUGUGUUCAGUGUUGUUCUGGAUUGAAUACAACUAUCUGUUGAUGUUGCUGAUGACCCUACGUGAAGUGUCUUACUUUGUUAUUUAGUUUAAGCCCUCGUCAAACCCUACCAUUUACUUAACGUCUCUUGAACUUUCUGUUAAAAACUUUUAUUGGAAGAUGGAAACAUAUGGAACAGUGACAUUUAACUUGCCUAAUAUUUGUUCUAGUUAACUUCUGAAUGAGUAUUACGUGAACAACAUUUAAAAUGGAUUUGUUUAGUCUCAUGAAAGUUCUGGGCGGGUUAGCAAUCUUUGAAUGGCUCUUCCAAAGGGCUAUAAUUUGCAUUUCUUUAACUCGUAGUAACUAUUAUUUUAGUUUUGUUUAGUUCAUAUUUUCUAUGAAUGCUCAAUACUUUAUGUUAGAUGAUUUGUCUUGUUUAUUACUGUUGUUUGACUGUGAGUUUGAUUGAAUUAUGGAUAUUGGGACCGUGGGAAUGGGGGAAGGCCGAAGCCCACAUUUGUCUCCAUGCUUUAGUUAUUGGGCUCGGUCUAAUAAUAAAAAUGAGAAGUUGAGAAAGGAAUGAGCAUGAUUUAGAAUUUUCUUCUACCUUUUUUAGUUUUCUUUCAUUUGUUUAUUUAAUUACAUUGUCUGCUAGGAACAUGCUUCGGCCGGUCACAUUUGGGUAGGCAAGCCUUAGGAUUUUUGUUGGUUUUGAGGCAAGAGGUCAUUCCCUUAGUUAAAUUUAUCCGGGGAAUGCCCCGAAGGACUUGCAUAUAUUUUAUUCCGGGGAAUGCCCCGAAGUACUUGUAUUUGGAGACCUAAAGUAGAACUCGUAGUAUUU